Molecule: ribosomal RNA, 260 nt
Filed under: uncultured bacterium
Lineage: Bacteria
Description: partial 16S ribosomal RNA
Rfam family: Bacterial small subunit ribosomal RNA
Source: RNAcentral
CGGAGGGCGCGAGCGUUACCCGGAUUUACUGGGGCGUAAAAGGGCGUGUAGGCGGCUUGGAGCGUCCCAUGUGAAAGGCCACGGCUCAACCGUGGAGGAGCGUGGGAUACGCUCAGGCUAGAGGGUGGGAGAGGGUGGUGGAAUUCCCGGAGUAGCGGUGAAAAUGCGCAGAUACCCGGGGAGGAACGCCGAUGGCGAAGGCAGCCACCUGGUCCACUUCUGACGCUGAGGCGCGAAAAGCGUGGGGAGCAAACCGGAUU